AGCGAACGCUGGCGGCAGGCCUAACACAUGCAAGUCGAACGAACUCUUCGGAGUUAGUGGCGGACGGGUGAGUCACACGUGGGAACGUGCAUUUUGGUUCGGAAUAACUCAGGGAAACUUGUGCUAAUACCGAAUGUGCCCUUCGGGGGAAUGAUUUAUCGCCAUUAGAGCGGCCCGCGUCUGAUUAGCUAGUUGGUGAGGUAACGGCUCACCAAGGCGACGAUCAGUAGCUGGUCUGAGAGGAUGACCAGCCACACUGGGACUGAGACACGGCCCAGACUCCUACGGGAGGCAGCAGUGGGGAAUCUGGCGCAAUGGGCGAAAGCCUGACGCAGCCAUGCCGCGUGAAUGAUGAAGGUCUUAGGAUUGUAAAAUUCUUUCACCGGGGACGAUAAUGACGGUACCCGGAGAAGAAGCCCCGGCUAACUUCGUG
This 433-nucleotide ribosomal RNA is filed under the name uncultured bacterium. RNAcentral's name for it is "partial 16S ribosomal RNA". It matches the Rfam family "Bacterial small subunit ribosomal RNA", at positions 29 to 507 of the family's 1533-position model. The record is from RNAcentral.